RNAcentral lists this ribosomal RNA (265 nucleotides) under uncultured archaeon. Its description in RNAcentral is "partial 16S ribosomal RNA". It matches the Rfam family "Archaeal small subunit ribosomal RNA", at positions 717 to 982 of the family's 1478-position model. The record is from RNAcentral.
ACACGACUACAUUAGAUACCCGGGUAGUCCUAGCCGUAAACGAUACUCGCUAGGCGUCGGCCACGGUGCGACCGUUGUCGGUGCCGUAGGGAAGCCGUGAAGCGAGCCACCUGGGAAGUACGGCCGCAAGGCUGAAACUUAAAGGAAUUGGCGGGGGAGCACAACAACGGGUGGAGCUUGCGGUUUAAUUGGAUUCAACGCCGGAAAUCUUACCGGGACCGACAGCAACAUGAAGGCCAAGCUGAAGACUUUGCCGGAUUAGCUG